GAUGAACGCUAGCGGCAGGCCUAACACAUGCAAGUCGAGGGGCAGCGAUUAUCUAGUUUACUAGAUAAGUCGGCGACCGGCGCACGGGUGCGUAACGCGUAUGCAACCUACCCAUAACAGGGGGAUAAUCUGGAGAAAUCUGGUCUAACACCCCAUAAUACUUAAAGCGGCAUCGUUUAAAGUUGAAAUAUUUAUAGGUUAUGGAUGGGCAUGCGUGACAUUAGUUAGAUGGUGAGGUAACGGCUCACCAUGACUAUGAUGUCUAGGGGAACUGAGAGGUUAAUCCCCCACACUGGUACUGAGACACGGACCAGACUCCUACGGGAGGCAGCAGUGAGGAAUAUUGGUCAAUGGACGAAAGUCUGAACCAGCCAUGCCGCGUGCAGGAUGACGGCUCUAUGAGUUGUAAACUGCUUUUGUAAAGGGGUAAAAAUUGAUACGUGUAUCAACUUGCAAGUACUUUACGAAUAAGGAUCGGCUAACUCCGUGCCAGCAGCCGCGGUAAUAC
Molecule: ribosomal RNA, 508 nt
Filed under: uncultured bacterium
Lineage: Bacteria
Description: bacterial SSU rRNA
Rfam family: Bacterial small subunit ribosomal RNA
Source: RNAcentral